Molecule: long non-coding RNA, 695 nt
Filed under: Monodelphis domestica (gray short-tailed opossum)
Lineage: Eukaryota; Metazoa; Chordata; Mammalia; Didelphimorphia; Didelphidae
Description: lncRNA (ENSMODG00000050440.1)
Source: RNAcentral
UGAUUAAGGACCUACUAUGUGCAGGCACUGUACUAUGUGCUUUACAGAUAUUCUUUCAUUUGAUCCUUACAGCAAAAUCUUAUGAAGUAGGUGCUAUUAUUUCCUCUAUUUUCUCAAUUGAGGAAACGGAGGUACCAGAAGCUAAGAGACUUAAUAGGCUCUGGGCUCUCAAAGUCACACAGCUAAGAAAUGUCCAAGGCCAGAUUUUAAUCCACCGUGGGACCUUUCUUGUUGUUUAGACAUUUUUCAGUCUUGUCUGAUUCUUUGUGACCCCAUUUUAGGGUCAUUUUCUUGGCAAAGAUACUGAAGAGAUUUGCUAUUUCCUUCUCCAGCUCAUUUUACAGAUGAAGAAAUUGAGGUUGAUCGGAUUGAGUGUCUUGUCCAAGAUUACACAGACAGUAAAUAUCUGAAGCUAGAUUUGAGCUCAGGAAGAGGAGCCAUUCUGAUACUUUAGCUGCCUACUGUGAGACUUGUCUCCCUUAAAAAAGAAAGAAAGAAAGAAAGAAAAAAAGAAAGAAAGAAAGAAAGAAAGAAAGAAAGACAGACAGAAAGAAAGAAAGACAGAAAGAAAGACAGAAAGGAAAAAAGAAAGACAGAAAGGAAAAAAGAAAGAAAAGAAGGAAGGAAGAAAGGAAGGAAGGAAGGAAGGAAGGAAGGAAGUGGAUGGACUUUCGAUGGAGUGGAACCUAAGAACU